UAAAUCAUAACAAUAAUAAUAAUAAUGUAAUGUGAUAGUAAUAAUAAUAUUAAAAUGAUUAAUUUAAUGAUAAAAUAACUAAAAUAACAAAUAAAGGAUUAAAUUGAAAACUAAACUAAAAUUUAGGGUCGAAACUGUAAAUAAAUAAAGAAAGGAUUGCCAGUGAUCGAAAUGAAAUGCACUGAGAAUAUGGGGGACUGGCCGCGCAAUAUUCCCUCGUCCUUAUGCGCAUCAUUUUGUGCAGGACUGGAUUGGAACAAGCGAAAAAUUAUGUGGCCAAAAUUAAAAUGAAACAAAAAGGCAGCAAUGAAUGCGCCGCAGGAUUAGAGGGACCAAAGGCGCAAAUUACCCAUCAGGGCAAGCAUUCGCAUGUCUCCCCCCAAACGGCGUCGUUUUAUUACUGUCAUUUAAACACCAUUUUUUUUUCAUUUUUCCCCUUUCACACUAAAAAAAACUGCAGAACCCCUCAUGUUCCCCAUGCCCUCCGUCGAUCAGUCCCCUCGCCGUCGCUCAUCCGUCCGCCACACCGCCACUAAACCGACGGCCGACGAAUGGGCCUUUAAAGCCUAGCCUUCUGGCGAUUUGAAAAGUCUGGUCUUUGAACCCCAUAAGCGCCGAGACUGAGGCUCAUAGCCCCCCUCCGGAUCCGGGUCAACGACGGAGAACCACGCACCGACGGCGCGAACGCGAGGUAUCUCCGGUGAGCCCCUUUUCCUUAUUUUGUUUUUGUUUAAAAAAAAUUUAUUAAAAUAGAGUAAAACAAAAUAAAAUAACAGAUCUGGAGAAAAAAAAUAGUUUUCUUUUUAUUUCUAAAGUUCAUGAAAUUGCCAGAAGAGGAGAAGGGACAUUACAAUGUUUUCGUUCGGACUAUAUAGCCGAUUUUACAACCCCUAAGCUUCUAUUUUUGUCGUUUUGCUAUUUGGCUGCUUGUUGUUGCGUGUUUAUUGCUGUUUUGCAGGUGUUUUGACGUGUUGAUGAGGCCUGGUGCGCAUGCGGUGGUUGGCGGCUUGGGGGCAAGCAGCAGCUAGGGUUUUCUGUUGCUGAAAUUUUUUAAUUUCCUGGGCUAGGGUUUAGGUUUGUUGGGUAAUGGGCCAUUGUUUUAUUUUUUCUACUGGGCCGGCAAAUUUGGGCUUCUACAAUAAUAAUAGGACAAAGUCUGAACAACUGAUGCAAUUACAACUUAAGCCAUAUUUAGAGGCGAAUUCAUGAGGUUAGUAGGGGCUUCGGUCCACCUAAAAUGGAAAAUUAUUGUUUUGGCCUUUUAGAAAAUUUUAAAAUUUUAAAAUUUUAAAUUAAUAAAGGUAAAAUUGUUCUUUGACCCCCCUAAAAUUAUGAAAAUUUAAUUUAAUCAUUUAGAAAUUAUAAAGAUAUAGACUAUUAAAAAUUAAAAUUUCAUUUCGACCCCCUAAAAAAUUUCUUUGACUUCGUCACACCUAGGCCACCACAUGAGGUUCAGAUUUUGCUCAAUUUGUUUUUUAUUAUGUUAGUUAAUUAGUAAUUUUUAUAUAAAUAGUAAAUAUGCUUAUUUUGGAAUAAAUUGGUUAGCAAUUUACAUUUAGUUAACUAAAAGAAAUAAUUGGAAAUAUUGACUCAUUCACGG
RNAcentral lists this long non-coding RNA (1600 nucleotides) under Gossypium raimondii (Peruvian cotton). Its description in RNAcentral is "long non-coding RNA (GRAI_LNC005949)". The record is from RNAcentral. Lineage: Eukaryota; Viridiplantae; Streptophyta; Magnoliopsida; Malvales; Malvaceae.